Molecule: RNA transcript, 2060 nt
Organism: Dreissena polymorpha
Lineage: Eukaryota; Metazoa; Mollusca; Bivalvia; Myida; Dreissenidae
Exons: 4
Source: RefSeq, a predicted model, not a curated record
GCAUAGAACAUUCUCAGAAUGCCAAGAAAAUAUGCUUUAAAUUUGCAAAAAUAUGCUCAAAUGCAAAUGCAAAUACCUAAGAAUACAAUUCCAUUUGAUAAAUAGUUAUCUUAAACAUCAAUCAUAUACAAUGUUGAAUUUAAAUUUCACUUUGACGAUCAAUUAUUAACAGAUUUGACUUAUUGUAUGCCCCCAGUUGCUAUAUUUAUGCUAAAAUGUGUGUUCCGGUUAAUAGCAUAUUCCUGUUAUUAGCAUAAUUUUGGCUGACAUGGUAUGCUAAGAACAGGAUUCCACUGUAGCAACAUAUUAAUCAGGAAUUAUGGUUUGAAUCCGUGAACUAUUAUUUUUAAUGGUGAAAGAAAAUCUCCAUGACGCGUUUUCAAAAAUUCCUAAUCAAGCUUGGUAAAAGAGCACACAGAAUAGCAAAUUUAUUACAGCGCCAACUUACGGGUAAAAAUGAUUGAUUUUUUUUAUAUUCCGUAAAGACAAAUGCCGCAUCAUAUCCUAUGGGUGAUUUAAAAAUUAAUGAAGCCUAAAUAAAACAUGCAUUUAUUUUCUUACCAUUAAGCAUGUUUGAGUUCUUUUUCUAUCUUACAGAAGUGUUUCCAUGUGAUUAACUUAAAUGUGAAAAUUCUUCUCAAUAACUUUCUUCAUUAACAAAAUAUAUUGAAAAAUAUCCUUAAAAUUGCCCCAAGUGUACUGGUUUUGCGUGACAUUUUAUGUAAAAGGCAAUUUUCAAUUCUAUACUUCAAUAAAACUUUCAGAAAUAUUAGGUAUUGCCAUCAUUUAAUGAAUAUAAAAAUUCAUAUGCUUUAAGAAAAAUAAAACAAUGCUUCUUACUUAGGUUGAUAUCUUUUGUAGCAAGUGUUCAAAGCAAUGAUGUUCUUGUCAAUUUUGUGCCACAAUUUUCAACUCUCUUCAUGUAUAUUAAGAGAUGGGAUCAUAAAGUGCUUCAAUAUUUAUAGGCAAAAAGUGUCCUUUUAACCUGUCACAUGUUUUUUCUACACAUUUGUACAGGUAUUUAUACAAUUAUUUGUUCAUGUAAAUUUUGAACAGCUGAAUACUAAAUGUGGUCAGAAUUUGUCCCUGUCACAAGUGUACAUUUUGCAAGAAAGUUAUUUUAAAUUUUUCAUAAGAUAGAAUUUUCAAGGUUUUACAUCAUUUUCUUCAAACCAUUAAUGCUUAUCACUAGAUGUACUGAAAAUUUGAUGCCAAAACCUUGUGAACUUUUUUUGCAAGACAAAUAUUGCAUUGUACCAAGUGUACGAAUUUUUUAUCAUGUUUGAUGGACAGGUGAUAGCUUUUAAAAAAUAAACAAAGGCACUAAUUUUCUGGAAAGAAGUACACAGAAGAUGUAAUCUCCAAGAGAAAAAGGUGUUGUCUUCACUCUGGGGGUUAACUACUCUUAUUAUAUGGGUGGACUUCAAUAUGUAUGAUCUACUUAUGCUGCCACAAUGUAAAGGCAACAAUCACUGGGUUUUGCUGUUUGCAAGUGUUAUGUCCAGGACUGUAACCAUUUACGACUCGUUGGGUGGUAACAACAAGGCAUUGUUCGAUUUGUUCUGCCAGUUCAUGUGUCAACGAGCGCAAAUUGUGAACGAUGGCUUGGAAAAAAUUCAGUUCAGAGUUCAAAGCGCCACCUUGCAACAAACAGCGCCAUGGAAACAGCUGUGGAGUGUUUGCAUUGAUGACUGCCAAAUGUAUGGUCAUGAAAAAGCAUCCCACAAUGUUGCGACAGGCCCAUGAUUCAGCUUAUCAAGACUAGUCGUGAGACGCAGACUUCUGAUUCAUGGAGUGCGGCAAACAUAUCUGUGUGACUCGAUCACUCCACUGUAAAGACCCGCACGGCAUUAAAAUGGAUAUUAUCAAUAUGUGUUGUUGCUCGAAAAUAUGUUUUGUAGCAGGAAGUGCUUUGGGCUCGAUUAAUCUGAGAACUCAACAAAAUAUUAAUAAAAUCCUUCUGUGCCUUUUAGUUCUGAAAACAGAAGUAGCCAGUUGGUAUUACACAUCUCCUAAACAAGUACAGCACAAUAAAACUGAAGGUUUUAAAUCCUACAUUU